AUGAACAUGGAAGUGGGUAAAAGCGUGGUUUGGAUACCAUGGGCAGUAAGAAGGACUCUCAUCGUUUCUACCAAAAGCCCCUGUCAAGCCUCUACUCUGCUAUGUGUUUGCCAAAAUUUACCUUCAGCUCAAAACUACUCUGAACUCAGUGGGUAUCUGUCACAGUCAUCUUAAGUAUCCAUCUCCUAUCUAAAAGACUUAAGCUCAGAAA
This 211-nucleotide long non-coding RNA is filed under the name Apteryx rowi (Okarito brown kiwi). RNAcentral's name for it is "lncRNA (ENSARWG00000007023.1)". Lineage: Eukaryota; Metazoa; Chordata; Aves; Apterygiformes; Apterygidae. The record is from RNAcentral.